Molecule: ribosomal RNA, 457 nt
Filed under: uncultured bacterium
Lineage: Bacteria
Description: partial 16S ribosomal RNA
Rfam family: Bacterial small subunit ribosomal RNA
Source: RNAcentral
UGGGGAAUUUUGGACAAUGGGGGAAACCCUGAUCCAGCCAUCCCGCGUGUGCGAUGAAGGCCUUCGGGUUGUAAAGCACUUUUGGCAGGAAAGAAACGUCGCGGGUUAAUACCCCGCGAAACUGACGGUACCUGCAGAAUAAGCACCGGCUAACUACGUGCCAGCAGCCGCGGUAAUACGUAGGGUGCAAGCGUUAAUCGGAAUUACUGGGCGUAAAGCGUGCGCAGGCGGUUCGGAAAGAAAGAUGUGAAAUCCCAGAGCUUAACUUUGGAACUGCAUUUUUAACUACCGGGCUAGAGUGUGUCAGAGGGAGGUGGAAUUCCGCGUGUAGCAGUGAAAUGCGUAGAUAUGCGGAGGAACACCGAUGGCGAAGGCAGCCUCCUGGGAUAACGACUGACGCUCAUGCACGAAAGCGUGGGGAGCAAACAGGAUUAGAUACCCUGGUAGUCCACGCCCU